UGUUUCCACCAUCUUUCUAUUGAAGCUUCGAGCGAGACGGACUGUGAAACAAUGUGAUGAAAAGGGAGUUGAAUUGAAUAUUACUGGGAAUGGAAAUAGUAGGAUGGCUGGUCUGGACCUUCUAAGUGAUGAGAUAGUUUCUGAACAAUUAAAGAGG
Non-coding RNA from Prunus mume (Japanese apricot), 157 nucleotides. The record is from RefSeq and is a predicted model, not a curated record. Lineage: Eukaryota; Viridiplantae; Streptophyta; Magnoliopsida; Rosales; Rosaceae.